Populus nigra (black poplar) is the source of this 691-nucleotide RNA transcript. RefSeq lists it as uncharacterized. NCBI's taxonomy places the organism in Eukaryota, Viridiplantae, Streptophyta, Magnoliopsida, Malpighiales, Salicaceae. The transcript is spliced from 6 exons. The record is from RefSeq and is a predicted model, not a curated record.
UUCUGCAAGGCUCUGGUUGGCAUUCUGUUAAGCAGAUACACUGAGGUGCAGUAAGCUGAUGUUCAAUUCCAGAUUCAUCACAGAAUUGCUGAAAUCUCCCACAGUGAAGCUGUACUCAAAGGACCUCCAACGUCUGUAUGUACCAGCUGAAGUUUUCGUGUUGCUCUCCAGGUUGCAUGAGGGAAAGGUUUUCUGGCCUGCUUACCAUAUUGACAUGCUGCACAGUUUGCUGACCUGUUCUCCAGUUGUGCCACUAUCAAUCAACCAAGAAUCAUUCGAACUAUUUCCUGUUGAAAAACAUGAUGCAACAAACAGCUGCUCCUCUUCAGAAUCCAAAUUCAUGAUUCUUGUGAAUACUGUAUUUGAUACUGCAGCAUAUAAGCAAGCUUUGGCCUUGGAUUUUCUUGUCUUCUUCUCCUUGUGAAUCUUUAGUUGGGCUAUAGUUGGAUUUGCAGGCAAGUCAGGAACAACAUAGUUUUCUUCCACAGCUUCCCAGAGAUCUAGCGCCUCCAGAUGCACUGUCAUUCUGAUGGCCCAUGUUUCAUAGUUUUCACCAUUGAAGAUUGGUGGUGAACCGUAACACAAGUGCAUGCAAAACAGACGUAAAGAAGAGUUUGUAGAAGAAUAAUAUUAUUGAUCUCAGAAUUCUCUUUAAAUAGAGUUAGAGUUUUACUUGGAAACAAAGACAAUU